Molecule: ribosomal RNA, 443 nt
Filed under: uncultured bacterium
Lineage: Bacteria
Description: partial 16S ribosomal RNA
Rfam family: Bacterial small subunit ribosomal RNA
Source: RNAcentral
CCUACGGGUGGCAGCAGUGGGGAAUAUUGGGCAAUGGGCGCAAGCCUGACCCAGCAACGCCGCGUGAAGGAAGAAGGCUUUCGGGUUGUAAACUUCUUUUCUCAGGGACGAAGGACGUGACGGUUCCUGAGGACUAAGCCGCUGCUACCUACGUGCCCGCCGCCGCGGUAAUACGUAGGUGGCAAGCGUUAUCCGGAUGUAUUGGGUGUAAUGGGCGUGUAGGCGGGAGGGCAAGUCAGAGGUGAAAACUCGGGGCGCAACCCUGAGACUGCAUUUGAAACUGUGUUUCUGGAGUGCGGGAGAGGCAAUCGGAAUUCCGGGUGUAGCGGUGAAAUGCGUAGAUAUUAGGAGGAACACCAGUGGCGAAGGCGGCUUACUGGACUGUAACUGACGUUGAGGAUCGAAAGCGUGGGGAGCAAACAGGAUUAGAUACCCUUGUAGUC